Molecule: ribosomal RNA, 465 nt
Filed under: uncultured bacterium
Lineage: Bacteria
Description: partial 16S ribosomal RNA
Rfam family: Bacterial small subunit ribosomal RNA
Source: RNAcentral
GAUGAACGCUGGCGGCGUGCUUAACACAUGCAAGUCGAACGGAAAGGCUCCUGCUUGCAGGGGUACUCGAGUGGCGAACGGGUGAGUAACACGUGGGUGAUCUGCCCUGCACUUCGGGAUAAGCCUGGGAAACUGGGUCUAAUACCGGAUAGGACGAUGGUUUGGAUGCCAUUGUGGAAAGUUUUUCGGUGUGGGAUGAGCUCGCGGCCUAUCAGCUUGUUGGUGGGGUAAUGGCCUACCAAGGCGUCGACGGGUAGCCGGCCUGAGAGGGUGUACGGCCACAUUGGGACUGAGAUACGGCCCAGACUCCUACGGGAGGCAGCAGUGGGGAAUAUUGCACAAUGGGCGCAAGCCUGAUGCAGCGACGCCGCGUGGGGGAUGACGGCCUUCGGGUUGUAAACUCCUUUCGCUAGGGACGAAGCGCAGGUGACGGUACCUGGAGAAGAAGCACCGGCUAACUACGUG